Molecule: long non-coding RNA, 690 nt
Filed under: Capra hircus (goat)
Lineage: Eukaryota; Metazoa; Chordata; Mammalia; Artiodactyla; Bovidae
Description: lncRNA (ENSCHIG00010007622.1)
Source: RNAcentral
UAGAUUCCAUAUAUAUGCGUUAAUAUACGAUAAUAUACCCAUGGUUGAUUCAUGUUUGAUGUAUGGCAGAAAUCAACACAAUAGUGUAAAGCAAUUAUCCUUUAGUUAAAAUAAAUAAAUUAAAAAACAAAACUAAACAAAAACACAUUUGCUCACUUGCUUCAGUUUGAUCUGGGCAUAAAAAGUUGUGCUCAGUUUCACUGCAACUUGUUAUAGAAAUAUAAAAAGUGUAUGAAACAAAGAAUUUUAGCUUAUGUUCUUAAACAUCACAGCACAAUUUAUCAUUAUGGCUACUGAGAAAUAGUACUACUGAUUUUUUUUUUGUACAAUAAUUUUUUUCCCUUAAUCUUUUUUAUUUGACACAGCUAUCUAAUGUUCCAGCCUGGACCUAAGCUUUUCCCAAGUCUGAACUUUAGAGCUGAUAGAUACUGAAAUAGCCCAUUCCAGAGGAGGAACAAGGGAUAGACAACCCAAGAAGGCAGGAAACUCACUUUGAGGUUCAUCAAAAAAGUAUUUGGCUGGGGGACAAAUGGCUCUUUUCCACAAUUAAAGAGCUGAAAGCACAAUAUUGGUGGUGUCAGAUCAGUAAGGAGACAUGGAGAACAACGGAUCAACAUCUCCUCAUAAUAAUCCCCUGAACACCUGAAGACAGCUGUGAGCGCUUAAAGAUUUGCUGAGGCUAAUCUGAAC